UACGUAGGGUGCAAGCGUUAUCCGGAUUUACUGGGCGUAAAGCGUAUCGUAGGCGGAUGUGUGCGUGGCGGGUUCAAGACCUCAGCCUAACUGAGGGAAUGCUCGUCAUACGGCACGUCUUGAGUCUGUUCGAGGGAACUGGAAUUCUCGGUGGAGGGGUGAAAUCCGUAGAUAUCGAGAGGAACGCCAAGGGUGAAGACAGGUUCCUAGGGCAGUACUGACGCUCAUGAACGACAGCUAGGGGAGCAAAAGGG
This 254-nucleotide ribosomal RNA is filed under the name uncultured bacterium. Its description in RNAcentral is "partial 16S ribosomal RNA". It matches the Rfam family "Bacterial small subunit ribosomal RNA", at positions 524 to 776 of the family's 1533-position model. The record is from RNAcentral.